CGGACGGGUGAGGAACACGUGGAUAACCUGCCUUUGACACAGGAAUAACGUUCAGAAAUGGACGCUAAGGCCUGAUAAGCCUACGACAUCGCAUGGUGAUGUAGGAAAAUAUUUAUAGGUCAAAGAGGGGUCCGCGGCUGAUUAGCUAGUUGGGGGGGUAAAGGCCCACCAAGGCAACGAUCAGUAGCCGGGAUGAGAGUCUGGACGGCCACAUUGGGACUGAGACACGGCCCAAACUCCUACGGGAGGCAGCAGUGGGGAAUAUUGCACAAUGGGCGGAAGCCUGAUGCAGCAACGCCGCGUGAAGGAAGACGGCCCUCGGGUUGUAAACUUCUAUCGACAGGGAAGAAAGAAAUGACGGUACCUGAAUAAGAAGCACCGGCUAACUACGUGCCAGCAGCCGCGGUAAUACGUAGGGUGCAAGCGUUAUCCGGAAUUACUGGGUGUAAAGGGUGAGUAGGCGGUUAAAUAAGUCAUGUGUGAAAAUCCUGUGCUCAACAUAGGACCUGCACAAGAAACUGUUUGACUUGAGUACGGGAGAGGUAAGCGGAAUUCCUAGUGUAGCGGUGAAAUGCGUAGAUAUUAGGAAGAACACCAGUGGCGAA
Molecule: ribosomal RNA, 605 nt
Filed under: uncultured bacterium
Lineage: Bacteria
Description: bacterial SSU rRNA
Rfam family: Bacterial small subunit ribosomal RNA
Source: RNAcentral